CAGACAGAUGCGCAACCACGCGUGCUCUACUGACAGUCAGUUAGUGAGACAGACACAGUCCGACAGACAGAUGGUCAACCACGCAUGCUCUACUGACAGUCAGUUACUGAGACAGACACAGUCCGACAGACAGAUGGUCAACCACGCGUGCUCUACUGACAGUCAGUUACUGAGACAGACACAGUCCGACAGACAGAUGGUCAACCACGCGUGCUCUACUGACAGUCAGUUAGUGAGACAGACACAGUCCGACAGACAGAUGGUCAACCACGCGUGCUCUACUGACAGUCAGUUAGUGAGACAGACACAGUCCGACAGACAGAUGGUCAACCACGCGUGCGCUACUGACAGUCAGUUAGUGAGACAGACACAGUCCGACAGACCGAUGGUCAACCAAUCCAGAUCCGUCGGUGUUGUUCUUGAACACCUUUGAUUACAGUCUGUCGGGCCCGCCUGGCAGGGAUGAUACAGGAUGAUGCUCCACAAUAGCAGGGCAUCCUGCCACCAGGAGGGAUUUCCGCGGGACCAGCCGCUGGACGGCUCACUGAGAGAGAAGACCCACUUUGCAGGUGGGUGCAGUCAGCCAGAGUGGUGAUGUGUUGUCCUGCCUUGGCCGGGAACAACUCUAAGACCCGCUGGGUCUCCUACCACCAGAGCAGCUCCCCAGUCUCCCUCUGUGUGCUUCUGCAACGUCCGUCAUCACCAGUGGUCCAUCCUGUAUGUAAGCGCUGUGUGUUGGUGUGCACUCCGAGACAUGAAACUCUCACAGAGAGGAAGCGAAAGAGACGAAGAGGAAGGAGAGAGUGAGAGAGUGAGACAGCGACUGUCCUGAGGGUACAGCAGUUCAAUUACAUCCUAAUCUCUUUCUAAACCCUCCACCCCUGGGUUAACCCACACAACCACCCGCCGUGUUGAGGUCACACGAACCUCAUUUAGUCGGCCACCUGAGGGGGAAGGACUUCACUCCUGCAGGCUCCACCCACCUGUCAAGUCUGAGUGAUACAGGGUGAGAGAGUGAGGGAGAG
Esox lucius (northern pike) is the source of this 1025-nucleotide long non-coding RNA. The record is from Ensembl. NCBI's taxonomy places the organism in Eukaryota, Metazoa, Chordata, Actinopteri, Esociformes, Esocidae.